Molecule: long non-coding RNA, 619 nt
Filed under: Chloebia gouldiae (Gouldian finch)
Lineage: Eukaryota; Metazoa; Chordata; Aves; Passeriformes; Passeridae
Description: Erythrura gouldiae (Gouldian finch) lncRNA (ENSEGOG00005002915.1)
Source: RNAcentral
UGUCACUGCAGCUCCACCACAUCUCGUUAGGGCUGCUGCUGGUCUGCCCAUGAGCAUCAGCUUUGGGGGAUUUCCCUGUUCAUACAGCAGCUGGCAUCUGCUCUGAAGUCUCUCCCAGCACCCACAGGCACACCAGGACUAGAAGUGGAAUCAGGCAAGGAUGUUUUAAAAGGACCAUCAUGGAGCAGAGCCACGGAGCCUGGGACACCUUAAGCAGCUUCUCCCAAGACCUCAGAAGAGACAUCACAGAGCUGAGCUCCCUGAGCUGAACCCAAGUCCCAAGCCAAGCCUGCAUCUUUCCACUUUCCCAGGGCUCCUCACAUUCCGUAUCACAAACCACUUUUUAAAAGUUUAUGAGUUUGCCUUCAAAGACUUUGGAUGCAUCAGGAUUUCAGGUAGGUACAACACACUGGACAAAUGACACCACCAGACUCUCUUUAUCAAUAGAUAAUUGAUAUCAAUUUUCAAGCUGAAAGUCAUCUCUUUAAAUGAGUAUAAGCCUUUUCUUGCUCUAAGGGCAGGGCUUUUAUCUUCCUGCCUUUUGUAUCCACCACUAUUUUUCCAGAUCCAAUAAGAAAAGCCCACCUGAAUCCACUACAGCGUUCAAAAUGAUUGAAUU